Molecule: long non-coding RNA, 261 nt
Filed under: Meriones unguiculatus (Mongolian gerbil)
Lineage: Eukaryota; Metazoa; Chordata; Mammalia; Rodentia; Muridae
Description: lncRNA (ENSMUGG00000002537.1)
Source: RNAcentral
CGCGCUCGGCCCGCGGUAAACAAGCACUGCGCAGGCGCCGUGAGCCAAGGGCACAUGGAACACCUGCACACAUACUGGAUUUUUGCCCCGAGACGUCCAAAAGGAAGCAGGCUGUGAGCUGAGGGAAGACAGACGACAGAUAUGAAUGUGUUCCGAAGGUUUCUUGGUGGCUUAUGGCAUCCUCCAAAGUCCUGUCCGAGAGCUGUUCCUGACCAGGAAGACCCACGGAGACUGUCUCUGAAAUCAAGUCCCGAUGAAGAA